UAGCUCAGUUGGCAGAGCGCAAGGCUCUUAACCUUAAGGUUGUGGGUUCGAGCCCCAC
RNAcentral lists this transfer RNA (58 nucleotides) under Zea mays. It matches the Rfam family "tRNA", at positions 8 to 63 of the family's 71-position model. From Rfam's summary of the family: Transfer RNA (tRNA) molecules are approximately 80 nucleotides in length. Their secondary structure includes four short double-helical elements and three loops (D, anti-codon, and T loops). The record is from Rfam by way of RNAcentral. Lineage: Eukaryota; Viridiplantae; Streptophyta; Magnoliopsida; Poales; Poaceae.